UGGGGAAUAUUGCACAAUGGGCGAAAGCCUGAUGCAGCAACGCCGCGUGAGUGAUGAAGGUCUUCGGAUUGUAAAGCUCUGUCUUUUGGGACGAUAAUGACGGUACCAAAGGAGGAAGCCACGGCUAACUACGUGCCAGCAGCCGCGGUAAUACGUAGGUGGCGAGCGUUGUCCGGAUUUACUGGGCGUAAAGGGUGCGUAGGCGGAUGUUUAAGUGAGAUGUGAAAUACCCGGGCUUAACUUGGGUGCUGCAUUUCAAACUGGAUAUCUAGAGUGCAGGAGAGGAGAAUGGAAUUCCUAGUGUAGCGGUGAAAUGCGUAGAGAUUAGGAAGAACACCAGUGGCGAAGGCGAUUCUCUGGACUGUAACUGACGCUGAGGCACGAAAGCGUGGGUAGCAAACAGGAUUAGAUACCCUGGUAGUCCACGCCGUAAACGAUGAGUACUAGGUGUAGGAGGUAUCGACCCCUUCUGUGCCGCAGUAAACACAUUAAGUACUCCGCCUGGGGGAGUACGAUCGCAAGAUUAAAACUCUAAAGUGAAUUGAC
RNAcentral lists this ribosomal RNA (546 nucleotides) under uncultured bacterium. Its description in RNAcentral is "partial 16S ribosomal RNA". It matches the Rfam family "Bacterial small subunit ribosomal RNA", at positions 355 to 914 of the family's 1533-position model. The record is from RNAcentral.